This 492-nucleotide ribosomal RNA is filed under the name uncultured bacterium. Its description in RNAcentral is "partial 16S ribosomal RNA". It matches the Rfam family "Bacterial small subunit ribosomal RNA", at positions 29 to 507 of the family's 1533-position model. The record is from RNAcentral.
AGUGAACGCUGGCGGCAGGCCUAACACAUGCAAGUCGAACGGCAGCACAGUAAGAGCCCGCCUUUACGGGUGGCGAGUGGCGGACGGGUGAGGUAUACAUCGGCAUCUACUUUUUCGUGGGUGACAACGUAGGGUAACUUACGCUACUACCGCAUACGACCAACGGGGGAAAUCAGUGGUCCAUCGGACCUUGCUCGAUCUAAUUACCCGAUUUCGGAUUAUCUAGUUGGCGAGGUAACGGCCCACCAAGGCGACGAUCCGUAGCUGCUCUGAGAGGAUGAUCCGCCCCACUGGAACUGAGACACGGUCCAGACUCCUACGGGCGGCAGCAGUGGGGAAUAUUCGGCAAUGGGCGCACGCCUUAUCCAGCCAUACCGCGUGAGUGAAGAAGGCCUUCGGGUUGUAAAGCCCUUUUGUUGGGAAAGACAAGCAGCGGAUUAAUACCCCGCUGUUCUGACGGUACCCAAAGAAUAAGCACCGGCUAACUUCGUG